Molecule: long non-coding RNA, 1410 nt
Filed under: Homo sapiens (human)
Lineage: Eukaryota; Metazoa; Chordata; Mammalia; Primates; Hominidae
Description: HSALNT0335629
Source: RNAcentral
UCAGGCCACCAGUGAAAAGAAUGUAAGGUCACAUAGCCUGUACCAUUUCAGGGAGGCAUUGUCUAACCUGGAGCCAUGAGCCUUUUUGAAAUAAUAAUAUUGUCGACCCCCAGUUGUAUGUGCCCAAGGAGAUGGCAAACUUGAGAAACAAGAAUAAUCCUUUCAGCUGGUUUAAAGCUGAGCCCUCACUCUUGGAAUUAAGAAACUGACAAAGGAUGCAAGUUCUUGGUUUAAGGAGCCAAUGGUGUGGUUCCCAGGGACCCUCCCAAAUACACUUCCAAUCUGUUUCUGGAGGACCUGACCUGUAACUCCUGACAAUAUGUUCUGAAUGCUGAAGGAUGGAGAUACACUUUGGAGUAAGAUUCAUAUGAACUUUCAUAAAUUCUUGGGCCAAUGGACUCAAGCCCCUCAUUCAAAGAAAACACCAGAAGAGACUUGGUGUUUUGUGAAAUGGCACAUUCCAAAAUCUCUGUCACUGAGAAAAGGAUGUAAGCUCAGGAUCAAAGCAUCGUCUUCAAAGAAGGGAGACAAGGGAGGAAUGUGUUUUGCUGUUUUGGAUUUCAAGAAAUGAAACAGAAACAAGAGCUGGUUUCUUGAUAACUUUGUUCUUCUACGCUAUGGUCUGUAGAAUGAUACAGUUUCUAGUUUAAUUGGUCUGUGACCUGCAGACCCCUGUGUAAGACUCUUCCAGCUUUGAACAUACCAAAGAAAAUUUUAAAAGAAGAGGGGAGAAAAAAGGAGAAAAGUCUGCAUAUUGGGUAAAGGAUGAUUUUGUAUGUGUGUGCUUUUCUAUAGUUGCUAGGAUUUCUGCAAUGAACAUGAGUUCACUUCGAAAUCAGGAAAAACACUAAUAAAUAUUGGAGUUAAUUCUAAGUAGUUAAAAGAAUAAAAUGAUAACCAAUUAUUUUUCAAGCCAAUGCAAAUUAAAAUAAAAGAAGAAUGGCAGUAAUAAUAAGACAAAGUAGAAUUCAUCAUAAAGCAACACUUGGAAUAAAAGAGCCAUUUGUGGGCAUUUUAUGUUGAUAAAAGGUACAAUGCAGGAUGAAGAUAUUAUAAUGAUCAAAGUCACACAAUAAAAGCACAAUAUUAAAUAUAAAAAACAAAAAUUUGACAGGAAUGAAAGGGGAAUUCAGCAGAAAAACAAUUGUUAUAAGAGACGUAAGCACCAGACUUUGACAAUUAGCAGAGGAAAAAAAAAGACACCUAAGUUUGAUACACCAUAAUUAUCAAAGUUGAUUAAUAGACAAAUAUUGAAUUUUGUUCCCUAGCAACAAAGAAUAUGCCUUUCUGAUGUAUUAUUUGAAAACCAGAGCAAAACAAAUACUAUAAAGGCCACAAAGAGAACUUUUGUCCAAAAUGCAACAAAACUAGACAAAAAUUACCAAAGUAAAUAAAAUUUUAAAAACUCAC